RNAcentral lists this ribosomal RNA (301 nucleotides) under uncultured bacterium. RNAcentral's name for it is "partial 16S ribosomal RNA". It matches the Rfam family "Bacterial small subunit ribosomal RNA", at positions 509 to 807 of the family's 1533-position model. The record is from RNAcentral.
CAGCCGCCGCGGGAAUACGAAGGGGGCUAGCGUUGCUCGGAAUGACUGGGCGUAAAGGGCGCGUAGGCGGAUUGUUUAGUUAGGCGUGAAAUUCCUGGGCUCAACCUGGGGACUGCGCUUAAUACAGGCAGUCUAGAGUGAGGAAGAGGGUUGUGGAAUUCCCAGUGUAGAGGUGAAAUUCGUAGAUAUUGGGAAGAACACCGGUGGCGAGGGCGGCAACCUGGUCCUUGACUGACGCUGAGGCGCGAAAGCGUGGGGAGCAAACAGGAUUAGAUACCCCGGUAGUCCCUGUCUCUUAUAC